Molecule: long non-coding RNA, 670 nt
Organism: Rosa chinensis
Lineage: Eukaryota; Viridiplantae; Streptophyta; Magnoliopsida; Rosales; Rosaceae
Exons: 7
Source: RefSeq, a predicted model, not a curated record
GGAAUCCAUUUCUGUGUAAAGAUUUGCUGCAGGGUUUGUGAUUGGAGGAUGGAGAAAUGUCCAAUUGGGUUUCCAGACGUGCUUCGCUAAUAGGCAAGAGUCAAGACCUUCCUCUCCAAGGAGUCUAGUUAAAGAAGAAAAUCCUACCUGACUAAAGAAGGAGGGAUUGCUGCCCCCAGGAACCAGAUUAGACAAGAAGAGAGAGGAAUGUGGAGGUAUAUAUGAUGGAAAUUGAAGAAUGCGAGACUUUGACCCCCUUGAACCUACCAGAACAAGAAAAAGCAUAUAUGGUUAAUGCUUAUUCCUGCCUCAAAGAAAGUUUGGAGAGGGGUGGAACUAAUAAGAGAAAGCUUGCCCAGAUUUAGCUCCGGCCGUUGGAAGAUCCCUCUUCAGGGCACAUGUAGAGGGUCAACUGAAGGCAGAGUGAUAUAAUGUCUAACCCUGAACUAUUUGUGACACUGAUCUGGAAUAGCCUCUAGCACUUUUGGAUCAAAAGGAGAUUAUCAUUACACAGACAACGAUGCAACACUUUUCUUCCUAAUGAUAUGGGUUGGCGGGAUCUAUUUGACAUUUGGUGGUGCCUAUGUGGCUUAUGCUGAAGCAAACUCAGGCUCCGACCUGAUCAGUUUGAAAAAUUCCUCAUAUGAUGUUCAUGUUGUAUCUACUUGGA